RNAcentral lists this ribosomal RNA (312 nucleotides) under uncultured Alphaproteobacteria bacterium. Its description in RNAcentral is "bacterial SSU rRNA". It matches the Rfam family "Bacterial small subunit ribosomal RNA", at positions 20 to 362 of the family's 1533-position model. Lineage: Bacteria; Pseudomonadati; Pseudomonadota; Alphaproteobacteria. The record is from RNAcentral.
UGGCUCAGAACGAACGCUGGCGGCAGGCUUAACACAUGCAAGUCGAACGCCCCGCAAGGGGAGUGGCAGACGGGUGAGUAACGCGUGGGAAUGUGCCCCAAGGUACGGAACAACAGCGGGAAACUGCUGCUAAUACCGUAUGUGACCGAGAGGUGAAAGAUUUAUCGCCUUGGGAUCAGCCCGCGUUAGAUUAGGUAGUUGGCGGGGUAAUGGCCCACCAAGCCUACGGUCUAUAGCUGGUCUGAGAGGAUGAUCAGCCACACUGGGACUGAGACACGGCCCAGACGACUACGGGAGGCAGCUGUGGGAUCU